GACGAACGCUGGCGGCGUGCUUAACACAUGCAAGUCGUACGGUAAGGCCCUUUCGGGGGUCCACGAGUGGCGAACGGGUGAGUAACACGUGAGUAACCUGCCCACAACUUUGGGAUAACGCUAGGAAACUGGUGCUAAUACUGGAUAUGUGCUCCUGCUGCAUGGGGGGGGUUGGAAAGCUCCGGCGGUUGUGGAUGGACUCGCGGCCUGUCAGCGUGUUGGUGGGGUAGUGGCCUACCAAGGCGGCGACGGGUAGCCGGCCUGAGAGGGUGACCGGCCACAUUGGGACUGAGAUACGGCCCAGACUCCUACGGGAGGCAGCAGGGGGGAAUAUUGCACAAUGGGCGCAAGCCUGAUGCAGCAACGCCGCGUGCGGGAUGACGGCCUUCGGGUUGUAAACCGCUUUCAGCAGGGACGAAGCUUUUUGUGACGGUACCUGCAGAAGAAGCACCGGCUAACUACGUG
Molecule: ribosomal RNA, 465 nt
Filed under: uncultured bacterium
Lineage: Bacteria
Description: partial 16S ribosomal RNA
Rfam family: Bacterial small subunit ribosomal RNA
Source: RNAcentral